This is a long non-coding RNA of Perca flavescens (yellow perch), 535 nucleotides long. RefSeq lists it as uncharacterized. NCBI's taxonomy places the organism in Eukaryota, Metazoa, Chordata, Actinopteri, Perciformes, Percidae. The record is from RefSeq and is a predicted model, not a curated record. The transcript has 3 exons.
UCUACUUCCCCAUAUCAGUCCUGCAAAACCGGCCCAUUUCCUCUCAUUCCCAAUUGUUUUAAUUUAUGUUUUCCCUUUCCAAUGAGGCUUAUGCCUUCAAUUUCCAGCCUUCUGCACCCGGACCUGAUCUGUUCUUGCUUUUUGUUGCCUGUUCCUUGCCAGCUCACCUGUCGUACCUUUGUUGGAUUUGUUUGCCUGUUCACACUGCCAUCCUGUUGCCAACCAUGAAAGCCCGUUCCUGACCAUCAAGUGGAUAAACUGCAUGCUCAUCUAAUCAUCACUUCAAAUCAAGGGAUACCCAAUGGAAGCGAGGAAAAAGACAUGCUGCUGUGGUGUUGAUCCGCCAGAACUAUGUCCACAUAGACGUUAUAGUGAGCAGACGGAUCCAGAACGCUGAUGUUGAAGCUCAGGAAGGGGAACAUCCUCCUGGAGAAACACACAGGGAUAAACAUAAUUAAUAAUUUUUUGAAUAUCAUUUUGUGUGCAUGUAUCUUUAUUUAUUUUUUGGGAAUUGCAUCAUCUUAUGACUAAAAUU